This 334-nucleotide ribosomal RNA is filed under the name uncultured bacterium. RNAcentral's name for it is "bacterial SSU rRNA". It matches the Rfam family "Bacterial small subunit ribosomal RNA", at positions 108 to 438 of the family's 1533-position model. The record is from RNAcentral.
GCGUAACGCGNUAUACAAUCCUGCCUUUCACAUAGGGGAUAGCCCGAAGAAAUUUGGAUUAAUACCUAAUGGUAUAUAAGAGCGGCAUCGUUUUUAUAUUAAAGCUACGGUGGUGAAAGAUGAGUAUGCGUUCUAUUAGCUAGUUGGAGAGGUAACGGCUCCCCAAGGCGACGAUAGAUAGGGGUUCUGAGAGGGAUGUCCCCCACACUGGUACUGAGAUACGGACCAGACUCCUACGGGAGGCAGCAGUGAGGAAUAUUGGACAAUGGUCGGAAGACUGAUCCAGCCAUGCCGCGUGCAGGAUGAAGGUCCUAUGGAUUGUAAACUGCUUUUG